Molecule: long non-coding RNA, 217 nt
Filed under: Elaeis guineensis (African oil palm)
Lineage: Eukaryota; Viridiplantae; Streptophyta; Magnoliopsida; Arecales; Arecaceae
Description: long non-coding RNA (EGUI_LNC027635)
Source: RNAcentral
GAUUGCAACUUCCAUCAUGGUCCAAACUUCUGUUGGUGGAGCUAUCGAUGGUACUGCUGUAGCUCCAUCUUCUCCUGUCACCCCACCUUCAACGGAUGGCACCUCAGGGAGCGUUGUCGAGGCUGACAAUGCCAAAAUCAGCUCAAAAAUUGAUGCCGAUGGUAUGUCGGAUUCUCUUAUCAGUGCAGAUGAAGCAGUUGCCCGAUCCUUCUUCGGU